GCAGAGAUUUAACCUCGUACCUUUUGCAUCAUGAUUUAGCUAGGACCUUCAAGCAAAAAGAACUUGUAGUUUGGAACCCCGAAACUGAGUGAGCUACUCCAAGACAGCCUAUUUAUAGGGCAAACCCGUCUCUGUGGCAAAAGAGUGGGAAGAGCUUCGAGUAGGGGUGACAGACCUACCGAACUCAGUUAUAGCUGGUUGCUUGUGAACUGGAUAGGAGUUCAGCCCCCUAGAUUCCCAACAAACUAGGGGUGUUAGUCAAAGGGGGUACAGCUCCCUUGAAAAAAGACACAACUUUACCAGGAGGAUAGAGAUCAUACUUAAUAAGGAUAGAUGUUCUAGUGGGCCUAAAAGCAGCCACCCUUACAAAAAGCGUUGAAGCUUGAACUUAAUAUACCGAUAAACCCUUCUUAAUCCCCUAAAUUUAACAAGCUGUCCUAUGCUUUUCAUAGGAACAAUUAUGCUAAUAUGCGUAAUAAGAGAAGAUUCUCUCCUCGCACACGUGUAAAUCGGAACGGACCACCCACCGAAUACUAACGGCCCCAAUCUAAGAGGGUAUUGGAAAAUGACCAGAAAAACAUCCCCCGUUAACCCCACACUGGUGUGCCCCAGAGGAAAGACUAAAGGGGAGAGAAGGAACUCGGCAAACAAGCCUCGCCUGUUUACCAAAAACAUCGCCUCUUGCCAGUAUAAGAGGUCCCGCCUGCCCAGUGACAAUCUAGUUCAACGGCCGCGGUAUUUUGACCGUGCAAAGGUAGCGUAAUCACUUGUCUUUUAAAUGAAGACCCGUAUGAAUGGCAUGACGAGGGCUUAACUGUCUCCUUUCCCAAGUCAGUGAAAUUGACCUCCCCGUGCAGAGGCGGGGAUACACCCAUAAGACGAGAAGACCCUAUGGAGCUUUAGACAUAAGGACAUACUAUGUUAAAUACACCCUGUUAAGGGCUUGAACCAUAUAGAAUCUGCCCCACUGUCUUCGGUUGGGGCGACCAUGGGGAACACAAAACCCCCACGCGGAAGGGGAGCACUCCCACAAACCAGGGCGACAGCCCUAAUCAGCAGAAAUUCUGACCUAAGUGAUCCGGUAAUACCGAUCAACGAACCAAGUUACCCUAGGGAUAACAGCGCAAUCCCCUUCUAGAGCCCGUAUCGACAAGGGGGUUUACGACCUCGAUGUUGGAUCAGGACAUCCUAAUGGUGCAG
This 1200-nucleotide ribosomal RNA is filed under the name Atheresthes evermanni (Kamchatka flounder). Its description in RNAcentral is "partial 16S ribosomal RNA". It matches the Rfam family "Bacterial large subunit ribosomal RNA", at positions 585 to 2558 of the family's 2925-position model. The record is from RNAcentral. Lineage: Eukaryota; Metazoa; Chordata; Actinopteri; Pleuronectiformes; Pleuronectidae.